CUCGCAGGCGGUUCGUCGCGUCCGGUGUGAAAGUCCAUCGCUUAACGGUGGAUCCGCGCCGGGUACGGGCGGGCUUGAGUGCGGUAGGGGAGACUGGAAUUCCCGGUGUAACGGUGGAAUGUGUAGAUAUCGGGAAGAACACCAAUGGCGAAGGCAGGUCUCUGGGCCGUUACUGACGCUGAGGAGCGAAAGCGUGGGGAGCGAACA
This 207-nucleotide ribosomal RNA is filed under the name uncultured bacterium. Its description in RNAcentral is "partial 16S ribosomal RNA". It matches the Rfam family "Bacterial small subunit ribosomal RNA", at positions 568 to 774 of the family's 1533-position model. The record is from RNAcentral.